GACGAACGCUGGCGGCGUGCUUAACACAUGCAAGUCGAACGGAAAGGCCCUGCUUUUGUGGGGUGCUCGAGUGGCGAACGGGUGAGUAACACGUGAGUAACCUGCCCUUGACUUUGGGAUAACUUCAGGAAACUGGGGCUAAUACCGGAUAGGAGCUCCUGCUGCAUGGUGGGGGUUGGAAAGUUUCGGCGGUUGGGGAUGGACUCGCGGCUUAUCAGCUUGUUGGUGGGGUAGUGGCUUACCAAGGCUUUGACGGGUAGCCGGCCUGAGAGGGUGACCGGCCCACGUGGGACUGAGAUACGGCCCAGACUCCUACGGGAGGCAGCAGUGGGGAAUAUUGCACAAUGGGGGGAAGCCUGAUGCAGCAACGCAGCGUGCGGGAUGACGGCCUUCGGGUUGUAAACCGCUUUCGCCUGUGACGAAGCGUGAGUGACGGUAAUGGGUAAAGAAGCACCGGCUAACUACGUG
This 468-nucleotide ribosomal RNA is filed under the name uncultured bacterium. Its description in RNAcentral is "partial 16S ribosomal RNA". It matches the Rfam family "Bacterial small subunit ribosomal RNA", at positions 28 to 507 of the family's 1533-position model. The record is from RNAcentral.